AUUGAACGCUGGCGGCAUGCUUUACACAUGCAAGUCGAACGGUAACAGGGAGCUUGCUCCGCUGACGAGUGGCGAACGGGUGAGUAAUGCAUCGGAACAUGCCCAGUCAUGGGGGAUAACUACGCGAAAGCGUAGCUAAUACCGCAUACGCCCUGAGGGGGAAAGUGGGGGAUCUUAGGACCUCACGUGAUUGGAGUGGCCGAUGUCAGAUUAGCUAGUUGGUGAGGUAAAGGCUCACCAAGGCGACGAUCUGUAGCGGGUCUGAGAGGAUGAUCCGCCACACUGGGACUGAGACACGGCCCAGACUCCUACGGGAGGCAGCAGUGGGGAAUUUUGGACAAUGGGCGAAAGCCUGAUCCAGCCAUUCCGCGUGCAGGAUGAAGGCCCUCGGGUUGUAAACUGCUUUUGUACGGAACGAAACGGCCUUUUCUAAUACAGAGGGCUAAUGACGGUACCGUAAG
Molecule: ribosomal RNA, 461 nt
Filed under: uncultured bacterium
Lineage: Bacteria
Description: bacterial SSU rRNA
Rfam family: Bacterial small subunit ribosomal RNA
Source: RNAcentral